Molecule: transfer RNA, 77 nt
Filed under: Acholeplasma sp.
Lineage: Bacteria; Bacillati; Mycoplasmatota; Mollicutes; Acholeplasmatales; Acholeplasmataceae
Also listed under: 2 other names
Description: tRNA-Pro
Rfam family: tRNA
About the family: Transfer RNA (tRNA) molecules are approximately 80 nucleotides in length. Their secondary structure includes four short double-helical elements and three loops (D, anti-codon, and T loops).
Source: RNAcentral
CGGGAAGUAGCUCAGCUUGGUAGAGCGCUUGGUUUGGGACCAAGAUGCCGCGGGUUCAAAUCCUGUCUUCCCGACCA